RNAcentral lists this ribosomal RNA (355 nucleotides) under uncultured bacterium. RNAcentral's name for it is "partial 16S ribosomal RNA". It matches the Rfam family "Bacterial small subunit ribosomal RNA", at positions 338 to 709 of the family's 1533-position model. The record is from RNAcentral.
CCUACGGGUGGCAGCAGUGGGGAAUAUUGCACAAUGGGGGAAACCCUGAUGCAGCGACGCCGCGUGAGUGAAGAAGUAUUUCGGUAUGGAAAGCUCUAUCAGCAGGGAAGAAGCAAGACGGAACCUUACUAAUAAGCCCCUGCUAACUACGUGCCAGCAGCCGCGGUAAUACCCAGGGGGCAAGCGUUAUCCGGAUUUACUGGGUGUAAAGGGAGCGUAGACGGUAUGGCAAGUCUGAAGUGAAAGCCCAGGGCUUAACCCUGGGACUGCUUUGGAAACUGUUAGACUAGAGUGCUGGAGAGGUAAGUGGAAUUCGUGGUGUAGCGGUGAAAUGCGUAGAUAUUAGGAAGAACAC